This 1052-nucleotide ribosomal RNA is filed under the name Sarocladium zeae. RNAcentral describes it as "partial large subunit ribosomal RNA". It matches the Rfam family "Eukaryotic large subunit ribosomal RNA", at positions 26 to 1107 of the family's 3401-position model. The record is from RNAcentral. Lineage: Eukaryota; Fungi; Ascomycota; Sordariomycetes; Hypocreales; Sarocladiaceae.
CGCUGAACUUAAGCAUAUCAAUAAGCGGAAGGAAAAGAAACCAACAGGGAUUGCCUCAGUAACGGCGAGUGAAGCGGCAACAGCUCAAAUUUGAAAUCUGGCCGCAAGGUCCGAGUUGUAAUUUGUAGAGGAUGCUUUUGGCAAGGUGCCUUCCGAGUUCCCUGGAACGGGACGCCAUAGAGGGUGAGAGCCCCGUACGGUAGGACCACCAAGCCUCUGUAAAGCUCCUUCGACGAGUCGAGUAGUUUGGGAAUGCUGCUCUAAAUGGGAGGUGUACGUCUUCUAAAGCUAAAUACCGGCCAGAGACCGAUAGCGCACAAGUAGAGUGAUCGAAAGAUGAAAAGCACUUUGAAAAGAGGGUUAAAAAGUACGUGAAAUUGUUGAAAGGGAAGCAUUUAUGACCAGACUUGGGCUUGGUUGAACAUCCGGCGUUCUCGCCGGUGCACUCUGCCAGUCCAGGCCAGCAUCAGUUUGCCCCGGGGGAUAAAGGCGGCGGGAAUGUAUCUCUCUCCGGGGAGUGUUAUAGCCCGUCGUGUAAUGCCCUGGGGCGGACUGAGGAACGCGCUUCGGCACGGAUGCUGGCGUAAUGGUCAUCAAUGACCCGUCUUGAAACACGGACCAAGGAGUCGUCUUCGUAUGCGAGUGUUCGGGUGUCAAACCCCUACGCGUAAUGAAAGUGAACGUAGGUGAGAGCUUCGGCGCAUCACCGACCGAUCCUGAUGUUCUCGGAUGGAUUUGAGUAAGAGCAUACGGGGCCGGACCCGAAAGAAGGUGAACUAUGCCUGUAUAGGGUGAAGCCAGAGGAAACUCUGGUGGAGGCUCGCAGCGGUUCUGACGUGCAAAUCGAUCGUCAAAUAUGGGCAUGGGGGCGAAAGACUAAUCGAACCUUCUAGUAGCUGGUUUCCGCCGAAGUUUCCCUCAGGAUAGCAGUGUUGAACUCAGUUUUAUGAGGUAAAGCGAAUGAUUAGGGACUCGGGGGCGCUAUAUUGCCUUCAUCCAUUCUCAAACUUUAAAUAUGUAAGAAGCUCUUGUUACUUAAUUGAACGUGGGCA